CUACUAUAAUAAAGCAAAGUGAUUUUUGCUUAGGUGUCAACACCACAAGCAAUUCCUUUACUCUCUUUCCUACUUGGCAACUUUUGCCUUCAUCUACAUCUACAUGUCAAUUCCUGCUUUUUUUUCUUUUUUUUUUAUAAACCUAAUAAAGCUUUUGGGCGGCCAAACGAAUUUUUGGGCGGCAGAUCUCUGCAUUCAAUUUUUGAAUUCCUUUGCUCAUCCAAGACACCCAUUACCCUAUUUUCUCACUAUCAACUUUAGUUUCGUUCACUAUUCUCUCUUCUUCAUCUUCUGCCAGAGAAACCCUAAAAUUAUUGACGGCAAAAUUAGUCAGAUCUUGAAGGAUUUUCGACCUGAAAUCCCAUCAUUCUUUGGAAACUGAAGCACCGAAUGCAUCAUAACAUCAAAGUUGUUGAUUUGAAGGCAAUCACUCUCUAUCUGGCUCAUGAAAAUAAGACUUGGUGGAAGAUCUGGGUUGCGUUUUUGUGUCUUGAUAUGGUGGAGGAAGAUCUGGCCAGCUCUAGGUCGAUGUAUACUAAAGCUUAAGAUCCGUUCUGAUUUCGCUCUCAGUUGCGGUUCUACGGUGGUUUUGGCAAAGCUCCGAUGGUGGUUUAUAGACAUGGUUCACGGUAUAUACUGAAGGAUUUGGUCCGCAAGUCAAUUAAGGAGACCGCAGUGAGUCUGAAGGCCCUUAAUAUGGUUGGGAUCCGAAACCGAAUGUUCGGUUAAAGGUUGCCACAAGAGACUGCGCAUCGUUCAUACCAUAGAGUUCAGUGAUGGGGGUUCAGAUAUCCAGAUCUUGAGGGUUACUGUUUACAAAGAGAAAUGGGUUAGUACUGCUCAUCUUGCUGACAAAAGGUUUUGAGGGAUGGCGGAUGGAGUGAACAAGAAGCUGCUAUACUGGCUCUCGGAGAUAUCAUCAGUAUCAAACUUGGUGAUAUCGUUCCUCCUGCUCAUGCGCGUCUUCUUGAAGGUGAUGCCUUAAAGUUCGACC
Long non-coding RNA from Helianthus annuus (common sunflower), 994 nucleotides. RefSeq lists it as uncharacterized. Lineage: Eukaryota; Viridiplantae; Streptophyta; Magnoliopsida; Asterales; Asteraceae. The record is from RefSeq and is a predicted model, not a curated record. The transcript has 6 exons.